Molecule: long non-coding RNA, 412 nt
Organism: Raphanus sativus (radish)
Lineage: Eukaryota; Viridiplantae; Streptophyta; Magnoliopsida; Brassicales; Brassicaceae
Exons: 2
Source: RefSeq, a predicted model, not a curated record
UUAAGGAAAUAGACCCUAAACGAUGGUCGAAAGCAAGACAACGAUGAAUCAGGUGAGAGCUACGAUGAUGCAUCAGCUGCGAGCGACGAUGAUGACGAAAGUGCGAGCGACGGCGGCGACAGCGGCGACGGCGAUGAAUCAGGUGCCAGUGACGACUCUAGUGAAGCCAACCACGACUCUUUUUGGUGGGAGAGGGUUCUCAACAAGCUCGUCUGGUUUUUCUGUUGAUUCUGGAGGCUGAUUUAAAGUUUUCAAAAGAGCUACAUCCCGUUUCCUUGUGGAUCGCUUGACGAGGAGGUGCGAGAACAACCCGGUGAUAGGAAGCAGAUGUAAACUGAUUCGGUCUGUACAAAUAAAAUAAAAUUAAAAAAAAGUAUCCAAGGUUAAGCAAGAAUUAUUCUUUUAUUCCUGA